This is a small nuclear RNA of Suncus etruscus (white-toothed pygmy shrew), 108 nucleotides long. The record is from RefSeq and is a predicted model, not a curated record. NCBI's taxonomy places the organism in Eukaryota, Metazoa, Chordata, Mammalia, Eulipotyphla, Soricidae.
GUGCUCACUUCGGCAGCAUAUGUACUAAAAUUGGAAUGAUACGGAGAAGAUUAGCAUGGCCCCCACACAAGGAUGAAACAACCCACAUACCCACAUACCCACAAAUAU